UACAGAGGGUGCUAGCGUUGCUCGGAAUCACUGGGCGUAAAGCGCACGUAGGCGGCUUGUUAAGUCAGGGGUGAAAUCCUGGAGCUCAACUCCAGAACUGCCUUUGAUACUGGCAAGCUUGGAGUCCGGGAGAGGUGAGUGGAACUGCGAGUGUAGAGGUGAAAUUCGUAGAUAUUCGCAAGAACACCAGUGGCGAAGGCGGCUCACUGGCCCGGUACUGACGCUGAGGUGCGAAAGCGUGGGGAGCAAACAGG
Molecule: ribosomal RNA, 254 nt
Filed under: uncultured bacterium
Lineage: Bacteria
Description: partial 16S ribosomal RNA
Rfam family: Bacterial small subunit ribosomal RNA
Source: RNAcentral